GCCAGAGUGGCGGAAUCGGCAGACGCGCGGGAUUCAAAAUCCCGUCCUCGUUCAGAGGGUGAGGGUUCGAGUCCCUCCUCUGGCACCA
This 88-nucleotide transfer RNA is filed under the name Planctomycetota bacterium. Its description in RNAcentral is "Planctomycetes bacterium tRNA-Leu". It matches the Rfam family "tRNA". Rfam says of the family: Transfer RNA (tRNA) molecules are approximately 80 nucleotides in length. Their secondary structure includes four short double-helical elements and three loops (D, anti-codon, and T loops). Lineage: Bacteria; Pseudomonadati; Planctomycetota. The record is from RNAcentral. RNAcentral also lists the same sequence under 1 other name.